Long non-coding RNA from Crotalus tigris (Tiger rattlesnake), 8643 nucleotides. RefSeq lists it as uncharacterized. The record is from RefSeq and is a predicted model, not a curated record. NCBI's taxonomy places the organism in Eukaryota, Metazoa, Chordata, Lepidosauria, Squamata, Viperidae. The transcript is spliced from 3 exons.
GCAGUUGAAGCUAAUGGUGCUAGAACUUAGUGUAAACCAGAAGUUCAGUCUUCUUAGUCUCAGACCAACACUUCAAUCACAAUAUUUCAUUUAAUUUUUCAUUUCUUUUUCCCCUUCAGGUGAUGAUGGACUUUAUUUCAGUUUCUCAAGUUACGUUCAUGGAAUAUUAUCCUAAGAAGGAGUUCUAUCCUAGGAGGGAAAAGAAAGGUUUUCAAUAUGGCUUCAUAGAUUUCUUUAGUGCCAGAAACCAAAAAAAGCAAGGUGCAAAAAUGUUGUUUCAUUUAGAAAAAUGAUUAGGCGAGUACAGGACCAACCUUUCAUACUAAUCCAGUCCUGAAGUAAAAAUUUCAACCUUUUACAUUUGUGACAAUAGGCUUCAAUCCAAUAUACCUACAGGACUCAAAAGAAUUUCUGAAUCCAUUUUACAUCUUUAUAUAAAAAAGUUGGAAUAGUUAAACCAUCUGUAUGCAGUGCUUGUUUGUCAAAAGUAGUUUCUGAUUAAUGUGAGAAAAAAAGCAGAUCAGCAAAAGUUGCACAUUUGAUUUACUGCAUUAAAUAAUAAUGCAUUGAAAUUAUAUUAUGCUAUUAGCACAUUAUAACUGCUAUAAUUUCACAUGAAUUCAUAAAGAAUGUGAAUGUCAUUAUCAGUUCCAAUACAUUUUGAUUUUUAAAAACUUCUAGUGGAAACAAUAAUUUAUUUUAAAUUUGUAGACCCAUAAAUGUUUCAGGGAAACAAAUUAGAUUAUAGAAAAAUAUACUAUAUAACUUUUUCCCUGUAAACACUCUGAAGACACAUAGGCUAUGAGGAAUAUUCUAUGUUUGAGACAUCUCUAAUAUAUGCACACACUGCAUGAAAUCACAUUCUUCUCCAAUUCAUAUGAUUGUGUUGAAUGCUCAGUGUCAGUCAUUUUAAGUGUACUUUGUUAUAUGGUAAAUAAUAAUGGAUAAUGGAACAAGAGAACCAUAUAUUUGUCUAUUUUAAUUGUGUCCGAUAUUAUAAUUGCAUUAUCAUUUCAAACACUGUUUGGAAUGCCUAAAUUCAGUUGAAAAGUGUUUCCAUUGUUUUACAACAUGUUGUUCUAACAUAAUUGAGAACUGAAUGUGAAUCAGGACUGACUUCUGAAAAGUAUUUGUAUCAGAAAUAAAAUAACUUCCUACCACUUGUUAUCCUUUAUAUAUUUUCAAUUCUAAGUUUUUAAUCAUACGGUAUUUACACAAUUGCUUUUACAAGUAUCUUAUAUUAGCUCAUAUUUUAUAAAGAGUCAUUUGUUUUAGAUGGGCAGUUAUAGAAAUUGAAAAAAAUAAAUUAUAUAACAGCAACAUAUUAGCAGGAUACAAAUGAGAAGGGGCGUUGUCUUACCUGAAGGCCUUUUCUCAGUACGGAGAUGGAGAAUCCAUCAAUGAGUUUUCUCUACCUGCUUGCUCUUGAGACCAAGUAGCCAAACUUGACACGUCCCCUCUUGCUAGGAGAUCCAGUCUUGAUGAGGGCGAAAGUGACUGAUGCAAGGACAAGGCAUUGGCUCUCAAUUCCCUAAUAACGGCCUAACUGACCAUAGGGUGGGUGUGGAUUCUCCAUCUCCAUACUGAGAAAAGGCGUUCAGGUAAGACAACGCCCCUUCUCCAGUACAGGAGAUGGAGAAUCCACCAAUGGGACAUACCAAAGCCUCACUGUCCCGAUGGGUGGGAAACAGAUAAGGCCGAAUCUACGUCCCUGGAGACCACUUGCUGGGGGACCCACUGACCAAAGGAGGCAUCCGCUGAAGCAAAACAGUCAAUCCUAUAAUGAUGUCUAAAAGGGGAGGGCGAUGACCAUGUUGCAGCCCUGCAAAUCUCUUCGAUGGAUGCCUGAAUGGCCCAUGCCACAGAUGUCGCAGCGCUGCGAGUGGAAUGGGCCGUAAUAUGACUUGGAGUUGGUAAGGAGGAAGAUUGGUAUGCCUCCGAUACAGGACCUGAUCCACCUGCCGAUAGUGCCAGCGGAUACCUUCUGUCCCAGGGAAGCCGGGCGGAAGGAAACAAAAAAAGGUCCCCAGAUCAUCGAAAGGGUUCUGUGCACUUAAUGUAACGCCGCAGGGCCCUGCGGACAUCCAACGUAUGGCAUUGCUGCUCCAAGUCAUGGGAGAGAUCAGGACAAAAGUCAGGCAAGAUGACUUCCUAUGUUCUAUGGAAAGGUGAAUUGAUCUUGGGCACGAAGCCGGGAUCCAACCGAAAGACCACCUGGUCUCAGUGGAAGGUGCAAAGGUCAUUCCUGACCGAGAGAGCAGCCAGUUCUGAGACACACCUGGCUGAUGCAAUGGCGACCAAGAAAGUAACCUUAAGAGAUAAAGCCCGCAAUGGUAUAGUAACUAUGGGCUCAAAGGGCAGUUUUGUUAGUGCACGAAGCACACGAGGCAGCUCCCAAAAAGGGUACCUGUGUACCACAGGAGGGCUAGUGUUGUAAGCCCCCUUGAUGAAAGUGCCUAUCCUGGGAUGAUGAGCUAGAGGAACUGAGUCCGAACAAGUGAGCAAUGUCGAUAGGGCCGCUACAUGCCUAUGAAGGGUCGCAGGGGCCAGGCCUCUGUCCAGACCGUCAAGAAGAUAGUCUACGAUCUGGGGAAUAGUUAAAUUGUACACAUUCAGUUGCCACCUUCUGCACCAAUUGCAAAAAUUGUUCCAUAUGGAACAAAUGUGAUUAGUUGCCGGUCCACGAGAGGCCUGAAACAUGGUUAUUGCCCAUGGAGAGAAUAACUCUUGUGUUAUGAUGUUGCGCUCAAGUGCCAGGCAGCUAACUGUAACCACUGAGGGUCUAGAUGUUGGAGGACCCCAUGCAAUAUGGGGGAAUCCUCCACGGAGGAGAGCAGGAGAGAUUCAUGAGAUUCACAAGCCAGGGUCUCUGCGGCCAGUAUAGAGCCAUGAGGAUUACUUCCGCCUGCUCCUGAAACAGUUUGUGGAUGGUUGCCAGAAUGAGUGGAAGGGGAGGGAAGGCAUAAAGAAGGCCCCGUGGCCACGGAGUCUGCAGGGCACCCGUCCCUUCCGUCCCCAGAAGAUACUAAUGGGAGACGUACCUGGGGAGUUGGGCAUUGCUCAACAAAGCAAACAGGUUGAUGACUGGAUGGCCGAACCUGCUGAAUAUUCCAGAAAAAAGAUCCGGAUGUAGUCCCUAUUCUGAGGGGUCUAUCGUGGAGCGACCAGGAAAGUCUGCCUGCCGGUUCUUGACCCCCGAGAUGUGUUCAGCCUUGAGAGAGGCCAGGUUGGGCUCUGCCCAGGAUCCUAGUAACCGGACCUUGGACCUAAGGGACUUGGACCUGGAGCCCCCCUGCCGAUUCACAUGGGCCUUGGGCUCCACGUUGUCCAUGAGGAUACCUGAUCCAGUGUCAGAAUUGAUGGAGAGCCAAGUGAACGGCCCUGAAUUCCAGCCAAUUGAUGUUGUGUCUCAAGUCUGUGUGGGACCAACAUCCCUGCGCAAACUGAGACUGAAGGUGGGCUCUCCAACCGAAGAGGCUGGCGUCCGUCGUGAUGGUGAGGCGGUCUGGCUCCUUGAAGGAGACCCCUGCCAGCUGGAUGCGCUGACAUUCAACUGCUGGAAUGGAAGAAGGAACCAUUGGCGCUCCUACCGGUGGAGUCUGGCCCAGGGAACAAUGGCAGUUUGUGGUGUCUAUGAUGGCUCCCAGGUGCAGGAGCCUGGAUGAGGGAACCAUCUGGCUCUUUUGGAAGUUCACUGAGAACUCGUGCUGCUGGAGGACCUGAAUAGUUAGUUGCAGGUCCUAAUGGGCCACCCAGAAGGAGGACGCUUGGAUCAGAAUAUCGUCCAGAUAACAUUGGACGCAUAGCAAUACCUUCCACAAGUGGGCAGCCAGAAUAGCCAGGAUCUUGGUGAACUCCCUGGGUGCCGAGGAAAAGCCAAAAGGAAGGGUCUUGUACUGGAAGUGGGGGCCCCUGUAACAGAGCUUGAGGAACCGCCGGUGUUCUGAAUGGAUGGGGAUAUGGACAUACGCUUCUGUGAGGUAUAUUGAUAUCAGGAAGUCUCCUUGUCUGAUGGCAUCCAGAAUGGACUGGAGGAAUUGCUUUUUGAACUUUUUGUAAGCAAUGUAAUAGUUUAGAAUUGCCCUCCAUUCCUCCGAGGGCUUGGGAAACACAAAGAGGACGGAAUAGAAUCUCCUGCCUACAUGGUCCAGCGGAACCGGUUCUAUGGACUAAAUCUCUAGGAGAUGUUGAAUGGCCUCCUGCAUAAGUCCCUUUAUUUUAUCAGAUCCUGAGAGGUGGAACAGGAGAUUAAGCGAUCCGGGAGACUGGCCAGAAAUUCCAGGGAUAGUAAGACCCAGACGUCCGUGGAUGUGAGUUCCCACUGAUGGAAGAAGUGGGCAAGUCUUCCCCCUAUGAGGAGUGUGGAGUGAGAGUCCUUUGGACUUCCUGAAGGGACGUCCUGCCCCUCGAACUGGCUUCUUAGAUUGGUUCUGCUGCCUGGGGCGAAAGCCUGAUCUAUCAUACAGACAGUCAUAUGGCCUGUCCUGGUGGGGUGUGUAUGAAUGGGGGGGGCUGGGGGAGCUGCUGAACCUGCUGCUGUUCAAAGGAACUGCCUGCGGAAAUAUGGAUUGGCAUUUUUGUCAGACCGUCUAGUAAGGUGUGCCAUAACCUUCCAUUUAUCCCUGUUCUCAACAAGGUACGGAUUCAGUAUCUCCCAAAGAGAUUGUUGCCCAGAUAUGAGGCAGUAGCGAGACACCAUUUGACUUUGGCGUCAGCCAGCAAGUGUUUCAGCCAUAGCAUCCUUCUGGCUGUGAUGUUGGAGGUUAGGGACCUGGAAGCAAAGUUGGCCUACUGAAGAGCCGCAUCCGUGGCAUACUCAGUUGCAGCCACCAUUGUAUUUAGAUGCUGGGAGUCCGAAUGUCCUCAUGAAGGACUCUGGCCUGUAGUUGGCACAGCCAUAAGAGGGUGGUCCGGACAAAAAAGGAUGCCCAGGUGGCUGUUUUGAUAGCCCAUGCCACUGAUUGAUGAGUCUUAUGAAAAGUCUGUUCCCACUUCUUGUUGUCCACUUUAAGUGCCUUAGACAUAUCUCCAGUGACUGCAGUCUGGGAUGCCAGUGGGACCCAGGCCUCAUCCACCUUGGGGACCUCAAGGGCCUCACUUAAGUCUGUAGAGGUACCAAGGAUCCUUUUUAUCUGACUUGCUUACGGAAGGACAUGAGGAAGGGGAGACCCAUUGCUUUUUAAUCCCCUUAAUAUAGAAAGAGAGGGAGCGUGGUGCUGGGCUGCCACCAUUUCACAGAAUAUUGGAUUUGGACUGAAAUCCAAUGUGGCCUGUAGUUGAGGGGACUGAUCCGACCCAAUAUUUGCGGUUGAGGUGACCCUGCUAAGCAAGGGAAGAAAACAGGGCCGGAUUGAAUAGACCUCCAGAUGGGGAGGGUUCAGGGGGGAGUUCCUCCUCCUCUGAAAAAUUGAAGUCCGGUUGGUCCUCACCCCUGCAGAGAUGAGUAUCCGCUCAUUGAGAAUAUAGGGAUCCCUGAAGGAGGAACAUAAGGCGGCGCAGCUGAUGUGGAUGCCCCCCGUUCAGGUGGAUGGAGAGAUCGUUCUGCUAGAGUGCGGUCCAACACCUUGGAUAACAGGGCCUCCAUUCAUAUAUCGGAGAAAAUAUUUCCAAGGUCAGGACCCCUGAGUCCUGCUGCAAUUGGAGUAAAGGUAGCCUCAGGGGCUGAACCCAAGUGAAGUGAGGGAUUAGUAACUGUUUACUGAGGUGGUACAGAAGGUGUGGUGGAAUCUUCCGUCAGAGACUACACGCCCUGAACUGAGGUCGAAGGACCUAAAGGAAGGUCAAACUCAGGGGCCGCCACUUGGUCCAUCUAUAAUUCUGCCUGUCUCUGCACUCUGGAGAGCUCCUUCUCCAGAGCCUGGUGCUUAUGGCUGGCAUGCUUUUCUGCCAACUUGGAAGUUUUCCUGAGAGUGCCCAUAGCCUUGGUUGUGGGCUUGCCUGCUCCCUCUGGAUUGGAGGUGGUCUGUCAGCCGUAACGAGAGGAUGGAGGAGCUGUGCACAUGGGUUGAGGCCCAGUGGAGUCCUCCAUCCUAGGUUGAGCUGUCUCAGGGAAACUGAGGCAAAGCUCUGGCAGGGAAGCAGUUGGCAGAAGCGAAAUUGGAGCAAGUAACGAGGACUGCUCCCCUAACCAUCUGACCAAAAAGGCAACUCUAUCUGGGCUUGGUCACGGCAAUGGCAGCUGAUGCCAAAGGUAUGGUUGGGGACCUGCUCUGGGCUCCACUCGGAGGCCUUAGGUGGCCAGUCAAAGUGCACCAGAUGGCCCAAUGAAGGGCACAGAGAGUCUGAAUAGAAGCCAGGCAAGGAAAGAUGAGGAUCAAUAGAAGCUUGAUUAAUUUAGUGUAUAAUAUUAUAAAACAAAACGUCCCUCAAAAAUCACUCAGGCCUUUGUGACUAUAAGGCUCUGGCCUGAUGAGGUCUAAAUUUUAUUUUAAUUUAUUCUAUUUUAUUUAUUUAUUUAUUUGUUCAAUUUUUUUUUAUGUGGCAUUCAAAAUGGCAGCCGUCAGAAUUCGGGUGGAAAUUAUGGACUCUAGGGCUGUGUGACCUGACCAGGGACCAAAGAUCCAGAAGACAGAAACAAUUAAAUCAUAGGAGGAAGAUUAAACAGCCUAGGUAUGCCAGGAAAACUUUUUACUCUUCGUUGUUUUAGCGCUAAAAAAAAUGGCAGCCGCCACUAGCUCUGCUGCUGAAAACAACUACUGUGACCACACAGGGGAAGUUUCCCCAACGUUGGGAAUGUCCUGGUAGAAGCUAGUGCACUGGCUGUGGGAAAUUGCUCCAAUUUGUCUCCGAUCGUGAGAAAGGAAAAAACGGAGCCUUGGGAGUUGUUUUAAAUUUUGCUGCCUCAAACGGCAGCCAAAAUGGCACCCGCAGUGUCCCAAACAGCUCUGGAGGUCUGGGAAGUAAAAUAGAAUCAAUCUGAGUGGGAACGCUGUUGCUUGGGUCCUAAGAGGGGAGGUGAUAAUUUCACCUAAGGCAGUUUGUGAGCUGCUCACAAAAAAACAACAAAUUCCUUUCCCCCAGAGCCCUGGGGAAAAUGGAACGAAUUAAAGGCAAUUGUCUUUCCCCUCACACACACACACCCUGCAGUUCAAAAGCCUCCGAUUUAAGGCAGCGCUGAGCCCAGCGCUGCAGGGAACUGUAGGAAAUGAUUCCCAGACUGUGAGGAUUAUUAAAUUAUAUUGAGGGAUAUUACUAUUAAAGGGAGAAUUCACCAAUGGUUUACUACCUGCUAAUCUGCUGAGAAAGCCAACCCUGACACGUCUUCAACAGCUUGAGACCAAGUCAAGACUGGGUCUCCUAGCAAGAGGGGCGUGUCAAGUUUGGCUACUUGGUCUCAAGAGCAGGCAGACAGAGAAACCCCAUUGGUGGUUUCUCCAUCUCCUAUACUGGAGAAAGGAACGGUAUGUAUUCCCAGGUCAAUUUUUUUUCUAUUAAAAGUGGUUAAUAUAUUAGGAUUGUAGAGAUCCUCAUUCUUUCUUAACACGAUCCUAAUGUCCAUCAUUGUUAGCAGAUAGACUAAUAGGUCUAGAUUUAAAUACUUUAAUCUGUUUCUCUUGCCCAGAUUAUAUUUGCAAUUUAUUAUGUCUAUUUGUUUUAAUUUGCCAAACGAUCCACUUUUAUGUUAGUCAGUCCUUAAAGUGAUAGUGAGGAGUUGGGUUUUUUUUUUUUUUGUCACUUUGUAAUUUAUCAAGAAAGGAAGAAAUGAAGGAAUUGGUUAAAUAUCUUUUGUUGCUGUUAAUUAUUGUUCAAUUAAACUUUUUCUCUUCAACUAAAGUCACACAUACAAAGUAUUUGGAUUUCUGUAAUCUACAUUAAUAAUAAAAUUCAGGAGAUAUCUCUAACUUGUUAUAUUGUUCCCCAUUCUUCCCAUCCAUCUAUUAAUAUCAGUUAACAGGAUAAUUUUGCCCCCUUAGAUUACAUUCAAAUGUUUGAGGGUUUUUUUUAAUAUACCUAUUGAGGCUCCUAUGCAUAAUACCAAUAGUGGCUUACAGGAAGCUAAUCACAGAAUUAAAAGUAUCACAUCACCUCAAUCAACAUUCAAUGACAAGACCAUUCCUGUGAGUAGGCAAAAUUUCUGUAUUCCCAAAUGUUCUCCCAAAACUCUCCUUCCAUUAUAUGAUUCACUAGAGUGCCUACAUACAAUUAUCAGCAGCCUAUGAAUUCCUACUUUCAUCAGCACCCAUAAUAAAUUAGAUAUCGAUAGAGGAGAAUAUUUGUAGCUCAGGUUUGAAUGAGGGUCCUUGAUACUCCCUGAGCUUGGCUUUUUUUGCAGAUGUUUCAUUACCAAACUAGGAAAUAUAUCAGUAGCAUUGAUGAUGUUACCUAGUUUGGUAAUGAAACGUCUGCAAGAAAAUCAAGCUCAGAGAACACCAACGACCCUUCAAUUGAAAUGUCACCCAUUUACACUUGCUGACAUACAUUUUAACUUUUAGGGACAUCAUAACCUACAUCUUUACUUCCUUAUUUCUCAUAUCAGACCACUGAAUUACAUACUUCCCCUUUCUCUCAGUUUCAUGAGCACAUUGCAUAUCUAAUAAUAAUAAUUGGAGGAGUUGGAAGGGACCUUGGAGGUCAUCUAAUCCAACCCCCUGCUCAGGCAGGAAACCCUAUACCAUUUCAGACAAAUGGCUGUCCAGUCUCUUC